GGCCUGCGCCGGCGCGUCGUUCGCUCCUCGCCGGCGACUCGGCUCCAGCCUCCACUCCACGACCGCCGGCGGCGGCUACACGUCCGGCUUCCACGGUUCCACACCGUCAGUCCAUCACAGUGCCGCGCCGGCCUCCCCUCCCUGGUCAAGGCCGCCACCGCACCUCCAGCCACGCACUGAACUAUGAUUUGUGAGUAUUCUCUUCUCCCAUGUUCCUCCCUUUUUCUACCUAUCUGGCUAUUUGUCCACUGUCAUAUUGUUGAAUAAUUAGACAGAUUCUAGAUUAAAUUCCAAAUAUAAAUCAUGACCAAAUCAGAAGAACUAAAGUAAAAAGCCAAAUCAGAUGAUGCGUACUGAUUAGACAUACUGAUAGAUGACGCGCGCCAGAAUCAGCAAUGUCGAUGACGUCGAAGCAGCAAAGUCAGCAGGAUCGACGAGGUCAGAAGAUCACGAGCAGUCGCGUGAAGACGCUUCCCAAAAACCUUAUUCGCCCUCUCCCGGUGCAGGAUCAAGAAGACGAAGGGUUCCGGAGACCUGCUCUCCUGAUCGCAGAUGCACGUCUGCGGUCGGGAUGAAGGGAAUUGGAAGGCGCUCAGCUAUGAAGAGAGGCGAAAGCGAAAC
Molecule: long non-coding RNA, 621 nt
Filed under: Zea mays
Lineage: Eukaryota; Viridiplantae; Streptophyta; Magnoliopsida; Poales; Poaceae
Description: long non-coding RNA (ZMAY_LNC005192)
Source: RNAcentral